This is a long non-coding RNA of Sinocyclocheilus anshuiensis, 474 nucleotides long. RefSeq lists it as uncharacterized. The record is from RefSeq and is a predicted model, not a curated record. The transcript has 3 exons. NCBI's taxonomy places the organism in Eukaryota, Metazoa, Chordata, Actinopteri, Cypriniformes, Cyprinidae.
UCGAAAAGGUCUGUGGAAUGUUUGGAUAAUGAACUCUUGAAAAGGGUGUAAUUGCUGUCAGGUGUUUUCAGUCAGUUCAGGUGUGGCACCCCACCAUAAACAAAACUGCACAAUAUUAAUUACCUGCUGUUCAAAAGAAAUACGGGCUUAUGAAAAAUAUUUCAAAGGAGCUGAGAAGACAUUUUGGAUUGAAAGAUUUGGGCCUUCAUCAGUCUGCUGUUGUAUAUCUCACCAGAAGCAAAUACUUUGAAAGCGAGGACCGUUUCGGGAGCUCAGAGAGCACGUUGGUGGCGAGCAUCUUUUAGCACCCUGCCCAGAUGGAGCACGAUGAUCGGAUGUGGGGGAGCCACCAAUAAAUAUAUUUCCACAUUUAAACUACGAAAGAGGAAAGGAGUGUCGAUCAAAGAGCCAGAUCUCCGAGACCGGGUGUACCUAGGGAGUAAAGUUGGAGGACGAGUAAGACUAUCGGGCUGG